GACGAACGCUGGCGGCGUGCUUAACACAUGCAAGUCGAACGGAAAGGCCCUGCUUUUGUGGGGUGCUCGAGUGGCAAACGGGUGAGUAACACGUGAGUAACCUGCCCUUGACUUUGGGAUAACUUCAGGAAACUGGGGCUAAUACCGGAUAGGAGCUCCUGCUGCAUGGUGGGGGUUGGAAAGUUUCGGCGGUUGGGGAUGGACUCGCGGCUUAUCAGCUUGUUGGUGGGGUAGUGGCUUACCAAGGCUUUGACGGGUAGCCGGCCUGAGAGGGUGACCGGCCACAUUGGGACUGAGAUACGGCCCAGACUCCUACGGGAGGCAGCAGUGGGGAAUAUUGCACAAUGGGCGGAAGCCUGAUGCAGCAACGCCGCGUGCGGGAUGACGGCCUUCGGGUUGUAAACCGCUUUCGCCUGUGACGAAGCGUGAGUGACGGGAAUGGGUAAAGAAGCACCGGCUAACUACGU
Molecule: ribosomal RNA, 467 nt
Filed under: uncultured bacterium
Lineage: Bacteria
Description: partial 16S ribosomal RNA
Rfam family: Bacterial small subunit ribosomal RNA
Source: RNAcentral